CUCGGCCCAGAGGCUUUACAUUGUGGUGAUGUCACAGGUUGUUAAAUUGCUUUUCUCGGCUUGAGGAAAGUUUCAUAAUUAUAAAAACAUCAACUGCACUAGCAAG
Etheostoma spectabile (orangethroat darter) is the source of this 106-nucleotide long non-coding RNA. RefSeq lists it as uncharacterized. The transcript has 3 exons. NCBI's taxonomy places the organism in Eukaryota, Metazoa, Chordata, Actinopteri, Perciformes, Percidae. The record is from RefSeq and is a predicted model, not a curated record.